UGUUAAAAAAUUCAUCUAUUUCUAUUGUUAAAAACUGGCAUGGCUAACAGAAUAACUAGACAAUUACUUGUGGCACACCACAUGUACCUCAUUCUAACAUACAUGAACCAGUUUUUAACAUUAGAAAUGGAUAGAAUUUUUGACA
Non-coding RNA from Gossypium raimondii (Peruvian cotton), 145 nucleotides. NCBI's taxonomy places the organism in Eukaryota, Viridiplantae, Streptophyta, Magnoliopsida, Malvales, Malvaceae. The record is from Rfam.